CCUACGGGUGGCAGCAGUGCGGAAUAUUGGUCAAUGGGCGCAAGCCUGAACCAGCCAAGUAGCGUGAAGGAUGACUGCCCUACGGGUUGUAAACUUCUUUUAUCAAGGAAUAAAGUGAUGCACGUGUGCCUUUUUGUAUGUACUUUAUGAAUAAGGAUCGGCUAACUCCGUGCCAGCAGCCGCGGUAAUACGGAGGAUCCGAGCUUUAUCCGGAUUUCUUGGGUUUAAAGGGAGCGUAGAUGGGUUGUUAAGUCAGGUGUGAAAGUUUGGGGCUCAACCGGAAAAUUGCAAUGGAGACUGGCAGUCUUGAGUACAGGUGAGGUAGGCGGAAUUCGUGGUGUAGCGGUGAAAUGCUGAGAUAUCACGAAGAACUCCGAUUGCGAAGGCAGCUUACUAAACUGCCACUGACAUUGAUGCUCGAAAGCGUGGGUAGCAAACAGGAUUAGAUACCCGAGUAGUC
Molecule: ribosomal RNA, 460 nt
Filed under: uncultured bacterium
Lineage: Bacteria
Description: partial 16S ribosomal RNA
Rfam family: Bacterial small subunit ribosomal RNA
Source: RNAcentral